Molecule: long non-coding RNA, 1900 nt
Organism: Brienomyrus brachyistius
Lineage: Eukaryota; Metazoa; Chordata; Actinopteri; Osteoglossiformes; Mormyridae
Exons: 7
Source: RefSeq, a predicted model, not a curated record
UUCAGUUUUUCUCAGGCUUGACUGGCAUUAGUUGUAGCUAAUGGUCGCCUGUGUAAAAAAUUCAUUGGGUACAAUGCUCGAGUGGGAAGAUGGGAAUAAUUAUGCCUACUUAAUUUACUCUGGGUCGUCGCGGAUGAGGAGCUUGCGGAGGGGGCUAGCCGGCCAUUUUAGCACGCCUGGGCCCAAGCCGCUGUAAUUUGACUUAUGAAUUUGAUCCGUCUCUAAUUUCGCCCAUGAAUGUUUCAGCGUGAGCGAUUCUGCCACGUCCAGUGGCUCCCCACCGGCCCGGUAUCCGGCACCUGCUAUCGGCGCGGAGGAUGGUUCUACGGCGGGAUUCUCCAUGCCAGUGCAGCUGUACGGGCUGGAUUCCGGACCGGAGCCCCCAGAGGUCGUCCCUGGGUGGAUGCGGAGAAGCUCUCGACGUGGCUUCUGCCGAAAACCAGAGGAGCAUCCUGCAUGUGAGUCAGCACUGCGAACUCUGAUUAACGGCAGAAGCCAGCGAGGUUGACUCCCCAGCCCCCCACCCAAUGGGACAGGACAUCAUUACAAAAAUGUAUGGCGCCAAGACCCGGAGAGGUCAAAGGUCACACUCAGAUCGCCUUCCGCAUCAGUGGUGUACCAGGGAGCCCGAGCUUAUUAUGCUAAAACAGGACAGUGUUUGGAACAAACGUACCAGUAGAGAAACGUCCUCCUAACGCGGCUUAGAUGGAAACUGUUUGGGCUGAAAACUUACUCUAUUCUGGGCACCGAGUUCAGAUCCAAAGUAACUUUAAACUGCCAUCGCCAGCCAGCCACCGUUCAAGGGAGCUCAGAAUUUGGGUCACCUGACUUUGGCUGACCCCGGACUGUUCGGUAACACGGGAGGACCAAAAGUGGCCUCAGGGCGUCUGGCCGCACAGACCAUCAGCAGGACAAAGCCACAGAGCUGAUUACAUUAUCCGGGGAAAGGAUCCUGACCAUUUCAACCUGCCUCAAACCCACAAGCAAUCAGAUGACCGCUGCUGCGAUGGUGGAGAGACUCUUGUAUGAUCUUCGCCGUCAUGUUUGUGAUCUGUGACCCGUAUGUCUGUUUUGUGACCAGAUGAAUAUCCCACUUCUGAAGACCGAACUGCAUCCACUCUGGGCAUUAAUUAUUAAUAUUAUUAUUAUUAUUAUUAUUAUUAUCCAGGUAACUCAGGCUCCAGGGAUCAGAAAGGCAGCCUUCCAAAAAUCAGUGAGAGAAAUACAGCACCGUCAGUCACUCUAGUGCGUCACACAUUGGCUUCCGACCUGUCGACCGUUCGUUGACGCGUUCUUGUCCUACUCACAGACGUUUGCGUCAGCGCUCUGUACAUCUCGAGCUACUUUUAGAAGAUCUGGCAAGAAAGCAAGUCGGGCCAGGAGAACUGUUUACAGUCGAGCUCCAGGUCAAAGGGUAGCCAAGGGAAAAAUACACAUCGGUCUUAACUUUCGUUUGGUUGUAAGCUUCAUGUGUGGCCUUCAUCCUGGCCUGCAUACUUCUCAUCUUUCUGCUCUUGUUGCAAAUUUUCUUGUUUUGUCUGCUUAUUUGUGGUAUGAUCUGGAAAAACAUUACCUUUAGUUUCCCAGAAAAUGUACGCAAUCCAAAUAUGUAAAAAAUGAAGCACAGGGAGAAAUAUCUGUGGUGAUUUUAUCUGAGUGAAUUUAAUCCCCAAAUAUCUCAGCUCCUGCCCUUUGCUCAUCCCGUCAAAAGCUGUAAACCGCCUUCCAUAUUUUGUUGAGCCGCCGUUAGCCCAGGCCAAAUAAGCCGCCGGUCUUGACCUAUUGCGUGGUGGGGCCCUAUCUGACCAAAUGGACCCAUCGGCUUUGAGUUGCGCGGCUUUUGCGAACUCAGCAAUAAAUAAAGAGAAUUACAUGGCCUGUACCGUAGCUGACAUGAAUG